Molecule: small nuclear RNA, 107 nt
Organism: Rattus norvegicus (Norway rat)
Lineage: Eukaryota; Metazoa; Chordata; Mammalia; Rodentia; Muridae
Source: Ensembl
AUGCUCACUUUGGAAGCACAUAUACUAACAUUGGUAUAAUACAGAGAAGAUUAGAAUUGCCUCUGUGAAAGGAUGAGAUGCAAAUUCAUCAAGUCUUCCAGAUUUUU